GGGGGGGGGGGGGGGGGGGGGGGGGGGGGGGGGGGGGGGGGGGGGCGCGGGGGCGGGCGCCGGGGGGCGAGUGGCGGCCGGGGGGGUGAUACAUGGGGGCGUGGCCUGGAGGGGGGGAUAGCCCGGGGAGGGCCGGGUUAAGACCGCAUACGAUCUACGGAUGGCAGGGGGGGAGCUUCGGGCCUCGCGCUCUAAGGCUGUGCGAUGGCUGAUGACCUAGUUGGUGGGGUAAAGGCCUACCAAGGCGACGAUCAGUAGCUGGUCUGAGAGGACGACCAGCCACACUGGGACUGAGACACGGCCCAGACUCCUACGGGAGGCAGCAGUGGGGAAUUUUGGACAAUGGGCGAAAGCCUGAUCCAGCAAUGCCGCGUGUGUGAAGAAGGCCUUCGGGUUGUAAAGCACUUUUGUCCGGAAAGAAAUCCUUGGCCCUAAUACGGUCGGGGGAUGACGGUACCGGAAGAAUAAGCACCGGCUAACUACGUG
RNAcentral lists this ribosomal RNA (486 nucleotides) under uncultured bacterium. RNAcentral's name for it is "partial 16S ribosomal RNA". The stretch from base 50 to 486 matches the Rfam family "Bacterial small subunit ribosomal RNA", at positions 39 to 507 of the family's 1533-position model. The record is from RNAcentral.